UACGGAGGAUGCGAGCGUUAUCCGGAUUUAUUGGGUUUAAAGGGUGCGUAGGCGGAAUACCAAGUCAGCGGUAAAAAUUCGGGGCUCAACCCCGUCGUGCCGUUGAAACUGAUGUUCUUGAGUGGGCGAGAAGUAUGCGGAAUGCGUGGUGUAGCGGUGAAAUGCAUAGAUAUCACGCAGAACUCCGAUUGCGAAGGCAGCAUACCGGCGCCCAACUGACGCUGAAGCACGAAAGCGUGGGUAUCGAACAGG
This 252-nucleotide ribosomal RNA is filed under the name uncultured bacterium. RNAcentral describes it as "partial 16S ribosomal RNA". It matches the Rfam family "Bacterial small subunit ribosomal RNA", at positions 524 to 776 of the family's 1533-position model. The record is from RNAcentral.